Non-coding RNA from Bacillus sp. FJAT-27231, 116 nucleotides. Lineage: Bacteria; Bacillati; Bacillota; Bacilli; Caryophanales; Bacillaceae. The record is from Rfam.
UCUGGUGGCGAUAGCGAAGAGGCCACACCCGUUCCCAUCCCGAACACGGAAGUUAAGCUCUUCAGCGCCGAUGGUAGUUGGGGGAUUCCCCCUGUGAGAGUAGGACGCUGCCAGGC